RNAcentral lists this long non-coding RNA (401 nucleotides) under Brassica napus (rape). RNAcentral describes it as "long non-coding RNA (BNAP_LNC002911)". Lineage: Eukaryota; Viridiplantae; Streptophyta; Magnoliopsida; Brassicales; Brassicaceae. The record is from RNAcentral.
AAUCACGACUCAGAGUUUUGUUCAGAAGAAAAAAAAACGGCAAAAGCGAAACUGAAAGAUGAAAACAGCAACUGAUUAAGACUGGUUGUCUGGAUUCUGCGAUGAUACUCAUUCCACUCGUGCUUUCUUAGCGGCGUUAUCUUCCGCAGCAUCGUCUUCAUUCGUUUCUGCUUCACGACCUGCGGUGGACACCUCUGCAACAUCGGACGUGAUUGCAGCUCUGUCAUCUGUUCCCGGUGCCACAUUCUGAAGAUGGACUUGCUGCCGAUGCAUCAGUCUUCUCCUUUGGAGAUGAGGAAGAAGACUAUGAAAGCGACUGAGCUUGAGAAUUCAAGUUUUACCAUAUACACAGUUUACACACACAAGUAAAACAUUUUUUGUAUGGACUCUGUUUCUAUAUA